This 74-nucleotide transfer RNA is filed under the name Candidatus Woesearchaeota archaeon. Its description in RNAcentral is "tRNA-Thr". It matches the Rfam family "tRNA". Rfam says of the family: Transfer RNA (tRNA) molecules are approximately 80 nucleotides in length. Their secondary structure includes four short double-helical elements and three loops (D, anti-codon, and T loops). The record is from RNAcentral. Lineage: Archaea; Nanobdellati; Candidatus Woesearchaeota.
GCCUCUAUAGCUCAGUUGGUUAGAGCACCAGUUUCGUAAACUGGGGGUCGGGAGUUCAAGUCUCCCUAGAGGCU